This 444-nucleotide ribosomal RNA is filed under the name uncultured soil bacterium. Its description in RNAcentral is "bacterial SSU rRNA". It matches the Rfam family "Bacterial small subunit ribosomal RNA", at positions 26 to 518 of the family's 1533-position model. The record is from RNAcentral.
AGAGCGAACGCUGGCGGCAGGCCUAACACAUGCAAGUCGAACGGACUCUUCGGAGUUAGUGGCGGACGGGUGAGUAACACGUGGGAACGUGCCUUUAGGUUCGGAAUAGCUCCUGGAAACGGGUGGUAAUACCGAAUGUGCCCUUCGGGGGAAAGGUUUAUCGCCUUUAGAGCGGCCCGCGUCUGAUUAGCUUGUUGGUGAGGUAAUGGCUCACCAAGGCUACGAUCAGUAGCUGGUCUGAGAGGAUGACCAGCCACAUUGGGACUGAGACACGGCCCAAACUCCUACGGGAGGCAGCAGUGGGGAAUCUUGCGCAAUGGGCGAAAGCCUGACGCAGCCAUGCCGCGUGUAUGAUGAAGGUCUUAGGAUUGUAAAAUACUUUCACCGGUGAAGAUAAUGACUGUAGCCGGAGAAGAAGCCCGCUAACUCGUGCCAGCAGCCGAC